Long non-coding RNA from Pan troglodytes (chimpanzee), 2153 nucleotides. RefSeq lists it as uncharacterized. Lineage: Eukaryota; Metazoa; Chordata; Mammalia; Primates; Hominidae. The record is from RefSeq and is a predicted model, not a curated record. The transcript is spliced from 8 exons.
AUGUAUGUGAAGCUAGCUGAUUACCCAGGAAGCUCCCUCUCUGUGCCAGAGUGCACUUCCUUAUCUAUGUUUGCAGCCCAAUCUUCCAGGCUGCUCUUUGUUGUUUCUUGGGCUGCUUUUCGUUAGAAGGAAAGUUCUGCCGAGGACUCUGCCCUAUCUGCCUUGCUAGUUUCUUUCUACUGUCUCUCUCACUAGUUUUUCAAAAGUCCUUUUCUGGGCCCCAAGGAGGGUGAUUUGAUGAGGAUAACAUGGGACUUGAUGUGGAUUUGAAUAUUGUCUCUACCACUAUUUGUAGCUAUUUGACCUUCAACAAUCAAUGCCCUUAAGAAUGCAGUGAGAUAUGCACAGAGUGCCUGUGACAUCACUGUAUGGGUCUGAACUCUCCAGAGAAACAGAAUCAAGUGGAUAUGGAGAGAGAGAAAAAGAUUUAUCUUAAGUCAUUGGCUCACACAAUUGUAUAAACCUGGUGAAUCUAAAAUCUGACUGGGGAGGCCAACAGGCUGAAGACUGACUCAGGAAAAAGUUGAAAUUCAAGUCUGAAGACAGUCUGCUGGUGAGCCAGGAAAAGCCAAUGUUGCAGAUGAAGUUGGAAAGCAGUCUGCUGGCAGAACUUCCUCUUGCUCAUGGGAGGAGACAGCACAGCACCUAGAACCAAGAUUUUGGAAUCUGACAGACCCAGAAUCAAAUGCAGCCACAGCUAUUUACUAAGUGUGACAUUGAGGUUUAUCUAAGUGUCACCCCCUUCAAAGCUGAAAAGUACACAGGAACAUCAUCAACGGUGUUUAGUACUUCUCAUGUGGCCCCAUGAUCAUCAUGUUUGAGAUACUUCUGCAAGAAGCUCCAAACAGUGAACUACUGAGAGAACACUUGUGGGAAUAUUUGCAGAGACAAACAAAUGCCAUCUUAAAAUACCAGCUACUGUAACUUACCUACAACAAGUAGGCUUCUUGGUCUGUAUUAACCCUGUAGGUACUAUUGUUGAAAUAGGCAUCUCCCCUACUCAGGAAUGUGGGCAAAUCUGAUCAUGCCUCUUUAAGGUUCUAAUUUGACAGAAGCACGUGAAUAAGCAAUCAUUUAGAAGAGUAUAUGCCUCCAAAUCAGAGCAAUACAAAUAAGAGCAGGGAAAGCUAUUUCACUUCACUGCUCACUUCCCAAGUAUCCAAGUAAAACACUUCCUUAAAGUGUCACAUGCAUUAGAACACAAAGGAGAAAAACAGGCAGAGGUAAGCAAAGUUUAAAUCUGUAAAUCUGUUCUUUAAGACUCCAGUUAAUAAAAACUCAGGGAUUCUACUUGGAAUAUCCUACGCAUAACAUCAUAAUGUCAAUAAUCCAACAGAAUCAAGAGCCCCAGAAUCAGGGUCUAGAAUGCCAGAUGAAGAAUAGAGAGGAAUCCCCAUGAAUCCUGGCGUUUUGUAUAAUGGCAAACACUAAGAAGUAAGAUAGAAAGAGUGAAAUCCUAUUGACACUGUUGAGUCUGGACACCAUCCUAAAAAUGUCCCAUUUCACUAAUUGGAAGGGCAUCCAAGUAAGGAGAAGCUUGAUGCCAUAUGACAACAUCAGCUAAAGAAAUCAAGCCUUUUGCAAAUAGCUCUACAUGAUGUUUCUGCUAAGUGUGCCGUAUUGAUGGAGGAGGGAAAGAAAGAAGGUGUUUUAUCUUUAAGCCUCAUUUAGCUCACAGGAUGGCUGCUCACCUCAGGACAUCACAUCUACAUUCCAGCAAAGGGAUUGAAAUUCAACACAUCGCACACCUUUUCAAGCCACUAUCGCAGAUUGGAUGCUGCCACUUUCCCUGGGACCUGUUUAUCCACCAUUAAUCUCUUCAAGUCUGACCACCAACAAACCUGUGGGAUGAAGCUGGGAAUUGUCUUCUCCAAUAGCAAAGAGCUUCCUAAUGCAUGACGACAUGCAAAGAUUGGUGCUUCCCUGAGACCUGCCCACUAGUCACCACAUGCAGACAAUGGACACUUCACACCUCACUGAUGUGAACCUCCAGGAUUGACCCUUGUCUUCCACAGAGCUGGAUUUGUGAAAGGAUGACAGCAACCACAAGAAAAAGAAAUCAGUGAGCCACAUUAAAACGCCUUUAUUCCCUGCAACAGUUAAAGCAACAAAAUCUAAUGACAUGAAAUAAACACUGCAAAACUGCAUUCUGA